AUCCAGCUGACGAGUCCCAAAUAGGACGAAAUGCGCGUUAACCUAUAU
Molecule: non-coding RNA, 48 nt
Organism: Schistosoma haematobium
Lineage: Eukaryota; Metazoa; Platyhelminthes; Trematoda; Strigeidida; Schistosomatidae
Source: Rfam